RNAcentral lists this long non-coding RNA (444 nucleotides) under Homo sapiens (human). RNAcentral's name for it is "non-protein coding lnc-LYPLAL1-1:3". The record is from RNAcentral. Lineage: Eukaryota; Metazoa; Chordata; Mammalia; Primates; Hominidae.
UGGAAAAUUUGCUGGAGAAAGUUGAUUAAGUAACAUUUCACGGAAGAGGAGAAUUGUAAUAACCAUUUGAUAGAAGAGAGAUGUCCUUGAACUCAAUCUAUCCUGAAGAUGCUCCUGAGAGGGCAAACAAAUAACAUCUCUCUGGAAGGAUGCCUGCCUUUGUCAAAGCUUUCAAAUCUGUAUGACUUCUAUCUUUCCUUGGCUUCCCUUACUCAAUUAGUCAAGGAUCCUUGUGGAUGUUUAACAUAAAAUGUCACUCACAUCUGCCCUCCUCCUCAACUUUCCAUUCCAUCCUCUCCACAGAUGCCUGAUGCAUUUUCUUCUGACUCAGUCUUCUGUUUUUCAUGGAGAACACAGAGCAAGACAGAAGCUCCCAACUGUGGCAUCCAAGAGCAACUUGAGCUGCUCCCUUACUUAUCUCUGGUCUGGCUCAAACUCUUUGUG